RNAcentral lists this ribosomal RNA (519 nucleotides) under uncultured eukaryote. RNAcentral describes it as "SSU rRNA". It matches the Rfam family "Eukaryotic small subunit ribosomal RNA", at positions 1161 to 1705 of the family's 1831-position model. The record is from RNAcentral.
AGGGCACCACCAGGAGUGGAGCCUGCGGCUUAAUUUGACUCAACACGGGGAAACUCACCCGGCCCGGACACCGUAAGGAUUGACAGAUUGAUAGCUUUUUCAUGAUUCGGUGGAUGGUGGUGCAUGGCCGUUCUUGGUUCGUGGAGCGAUUUGUCUGGUUUAUUCCGAUAACGAGCGAGACUCUAGCCUACUAAAUAGUUCGCACAUUGUCUCUGUGUGUGUGACUUCUUAGAGGGAUUUUCGGUGUUCAGCCGCACGAAAUUGAGCAAUAACAGGUCUGUGAUGCCCUUAGAUGUCCGGGGCUGCACGCGCGCUACACUGGCAAAAUCAGCGUGCUUGUCCUUCCCCGAAAGGGGUUGGUAAACCCUUGAAAAUUUGCCGUGAUUGGGCUUGGAAAUUGCAAUUAUUUUCCAUGAACGAGGAAUUCCAAGUAAGUGCGAGUCAUCAGCUCGCGUUGAUUACGUCCCUGCCCUUUGUACACACCGCCCGUCGCUGCCCGGGACUGAGCCAUUUCGAGAA